AGCCCAAAUUAAAGCUUCUAA
RNAcentral lists this small nuclear RNA (21 nucleotides) under Arabidopsis thaliana (thale cress). RNAcentral describes it as "snRNA_14451". The record is from RNAcentral. Lineage: Eukaryota; Viridiplantae; Streptophyta; Magnoliopsida; Brassicales; Brassicaceae.